This 321-nucleotide ribosomal RNA is filed under the name Acinetobacter baumannii Naval-18. Its description in RNAcentral is "bacterial SSU rRNA". It matches the Rfam family "Bacterial small subunit ribosomal RNA", at positions 41 to 364 of the family's 1533-position model. Lineage: Bacteria; Pseudomonadati; Pseudomonadota; Gammaproteobacteria; Moraxellales; Moraxellaceae. The record is from RNAcentral.
GGCAGGCUUAACACAUGCAAGUCGAGCGGGGGAAGGUAGCUUGCUACCGGACCUAGCGGCGGACGGGUGAGUAAUGCUUAGGAAUCUGCCUAUUAGUGGGGGACAACAUCUCGAAAGGGAUGCUAAUACCGCAUACGUCCUACGGGAGAAAGCAGGGGAUCUUCGGACCUUGCGCUAAUAGAUGAGCCUAAGUCGGAUUAGCUAGUUGGUGGGGUAAAGGCCUACCAAGGCGACGAUCUGUAGCGGGUCUGAGAGGAUGAUCCGCCACACUGGGACUGAGACACGGCCCAGACUCCUACGGGAGGCAGCAGUGGGGAAUAU